AGAGUUUGAUCCUGGCUCAGAGCGAACGCUGGCGGCAGGCUUAACACAUGCAAGUCGAGCGGGCGUAGCAAUACGUCAGCGGCAGACGGGUGAGUAACGCGUGGGAACGUACCUUUUGGUUCGGAACAACACAGGGAAACUUGUGCUAAUACCGGAUAAGCCCUUACGGGGAAAGAUUUAUCGCCGAAAGAUCGGCCCGCGUCUGAUUAGCUAGUUGGUGAGGUAACGGCUCACCAAGGCGACGAUCAGUAGCUGGUCUGAGAGGAUGAUCAGCCACAUUGGGACUGAGACACGGCCCAAACUCCUACGGGAGGCAGCAGUGGGGAAUAUUGGACAAUGGGCGCAAGCCUGAUCCAGCCAUGCCGCGUGAGUGAUGAAGGCCCUAGGGUUGUAAAGCUCUUU
This 402-nucleotide ribosomal RNA is filed under the name uncultured bacterium. RNAcentral's name for it is "bacterial SSU rRNA". It matches the Rfam family "Bacterial small subunit ribosomal RNA", at positions 8 to 436 of the family's 1533-position model. The record is from RNAcentral.